GUUCAGACUGCAGGCUGCAACUCGCCUGCACGAAGUCGGAAUUGCUAGUAAUCGUAGGUCAGCAUACUACGGUGAAUACGUUCCCGGGCCUUGUACACACCGCCCGUCAAACCAUGAGAGUUGGCAACACCCGAAGUCGGUAGUCUAACCGCAAGGAGGACGCCGCCGAAGGUGGGGUUGAUGAUUAGGGUUAAGUCGUAACAAGGUACC
This 210-nucleotide ribosomal RNA is filed under the name uncultured bacterium. Its description in RNAcentral is "partial 16S ribosomal RNA". It matches the Rfam family "Bacterial small subunit ribosomal RNA", at positions 1291 to 1500 of the family's 1533-position model. The record is from RNAcentral.